This 497-nucleotide ribosomal RNA is filed under the name uncultured bacterium. RNAcentral describes it as "partial 16S ribosomal RNA". It matches the Rfam family "Bacterial small subunit ribosomal RNA", at positions 28 to 507 of the family's 1533-position model. The record is from RNAcentral.
GAUGAACGCUGGCGGCGUGCCUAAUACAUGCAAGUCGAGCGAACAGACGAGGAGCUUGCUCCUCUGACGUUAGCGGCGGACGGGUGAGUAAAACGUGGAUAACCUACCUAUAAGACUGGGAUAACUUCGGGAAACCGGAGCUAAUACCGGAUAAUAUAUUGAACCGCAUGGUUCAAUAGUGAAAGACGGUUUUGCUGUCACUUAUAGAUGGAUCCGCGCCGCAUUAGCUAGUUGGUAAGGUAACGGCUUACGAAGGCAACGAUGCGUAGCCGACCUGAGAGGGUGAUCGGCCACACUGGAACUGAGACACGGUCCAGACUCCUACGGGAGGCAGAAGUAGGGAAUCUUCCGAAAUGGGCGAAAGCCUGCAGGAGCAACGCCGCGUGAGUGAUGAAGGUCUUCGGAUCGUAAAACUCUGUUAUUAGGGAAGAACAAAUGUGUAAGUAACUAUGCACGUCUUGACGGUACCUAAUCAGAAAGCCACGGCUAACUACGUG